RNAcentral lists this ribosomal RNA (207 nucleotides) under uncultured bacterium. RNAcentral's name for it is "partial 16S ribosomal RNA". It matches the Rfam family "Bacterial small subunit ribosomal RNA", at positions 568 to 774 of the family's 1533-position model. The record is from RNAcentral.
AGCGCAGGCGGGAUAGCAAGUCAGCUGUGAAAACUAUGGGCUCAACCCAUAAACUGCAGUUGAAACUGUUAUUCUUGAGUGGAGUAGAGGCAAGCGGAAUUCCGAGUGUAGCGGUGAAAUGCGUAGAUAUUCGGAGGAACACCAGUGGCGAAGGCGGCUUGCUGGGCUCUAACUGACGCUGAGGCUCGAAAGUGUGGGGAGCAAACA